AGAGUUUGAUCCUGGCUCAGGACGAACGCUGGCGGCACGCUUAACACAUGCAAGUCGAACGAGAGAAGAGGAGCUUGCUUUUCUGAUCUAGUGGCGGACGGGUGAGUAACACGUGAGCAAUCUGCCUUUCAGAGGGGGAUACCGAUUGGAAACGAUCGUUAAUACCGCAUAACAUAAUUGAACCGCAUGAUUUGAUUAUCAAAGAUUUAUCGCUGAAAGAUGAGCUCGCGUCUGAUUAGCUAGUUGGUAAGGUAACGGCUUACCAAGGCGACGAUCAGUAGCCGGACUGAGAGGUUGAUCGGCCACAUUGGGACUGAGACACGGCCCAGACUCCUACGGGAGGCAGCAGUGGGGAAUAUUGCACAAUGGAGGAAACUCUGAUGCAGCGAUGCCGCGUGAGGGAAGAAGGUUUUAGGAUUGUAAACCUCUGUCUUCAGGGACGAAAAAAGACGGUACCUGAGGAGGAAGCUCCGGCUAACUACGUGCCAGCAGCCGCGGUAAUACGUAGGGAGCGAGCGUUGUCCGGAAUUACUGGGUGUAAAGGGAGCGUAGGCGGGAUCGCAAGUCAGAUGUGAAAACUAUGGGCUUAACCCAUAAACUGCAUUUGAAACUGUGGUUCUUGAGUGAAGUAGAGGUAAGCGGAAUUCCUAGUGUAGCGGUGAAAUGCGUAGAUAUUAGGAGGAACAUCAGUGGCGAAGGCGGCUUACUGGGCUUUAACUGACGCUGAGGCUCGAAAGCGUGGGGAGCAAACAGGAUUAGAUACCCUGGUAGUCCACGCCGUAAACGAUGAUUACUAGGUGUGGGGGGACUGACCCCUUCCGUGCCGCAGCAAACGCAAUAAGUAAUCCACCUGGGGAGUACGACCGCAAGGUUGAAACUCAAAGGAAUUGACGGGGGCCCGCACAAGCAGUGGAAUAUGUGGAUUAAUUCGAAGCAACGCGAAGAACCUUACCAGGUCUUGACAUCGUAUGCAUAGCUCAGAGAUGAGUGAAAUCUCUUCGGAGACAUAUAGACAGGUGGUGCAUGGUUGUCGUCAGCUCGUGUCGUGAGAUGUUGGGUUAAGUCCCGCAACGAGCGCAACCCUUACUGUUAGUUGCUACGCAAGAGCACUCUAGCAGGACUGCCGUUGACAAAACGGAGGAAGGUGGGGAUGACGUCAAAUCAUCAUGCCCCUUAUGACCUGGGCCUCACACGUACUACAAUGGCUGUCAACAGAGGGAAGCAAAGCCGCGAGGUGGAGCGAACCCCUAAAAGCAGUCUUAGUUCGGAUUGUAGGCUGCAACCCGCCUACAUGAAGUCGGAAUUGCUAGUAAUCGCAGAUCAGCAUGCUGCGGUGAAUACGUUCCCGGGCCUUGUACACACCGCCCGUCACGCCAUGGGAGUCGGUAACACCCGAAGCCUGUAGUCUAACCGCAAGGAGGACGCAGUCGAAGGUGGGAUUGAUGACUGGGGUGAAGUCGUAACAAGGUA
This 1470-nucleotide ribosomal RNA is filed under the name metagenome. RNAcentral's name for it is "bacterial SSU rRNA". It matches the Rfam family "Bacterial small subunit ribosomal RNA". The record is from RNAcentral.